UACAAAGGGGGCUAGCGUUGCUCGGAAUUACUGGGCGUAAAGGGAGCGUAGGCGGACAUUUAAGUCAGGGGUGAAAUCCCGGGGCUCAACCUCGGAAUUGCCUUUGAUACUGGGUGUCUUGAGUAUGAGAGAGGUAUGUGGAACUCCGAGUGUAGAGGUGAAAUUCGUAGAUAUUCGGAAGAACACCAGUGGCGAAGGCGACAUACUGGCUCAUUACUGACGCUGAGGCUCGAAAGCGUGGGGAGCAAACAGG
RNAcentral lists this ribosomal RNA (253 nucleotides) under uncultured bacterium. RNAcentral's name for it is "partial 16S ribosomal RNA". It matches the Rfam family "Bacterial small subunit ribosomal RNA", at positions 524 to 776 of the family's 1533-position model. The record is from RNAcentral.